GGGUAGACUUUGUUCUGAACCAAACAAAACUCCUGUAUGAUUUCUGCUCAAUUUUUUAUUUAUUGUUGAGUUCAAGAAUUUACAAAGGAGAAUUUAAGAUUAAAGGAUUCUAGCAGCGCUUCUUUACUUUGUUCUGAAUGAAACUAAAGUCAUCUAUGAUUUCUGCUCAGAUUCUGAAUUUCUUCCUCCAGGCAGCCUUUAAUAGUUCAAUAAUUUUCAAAGGACAAUUUAAGAUCAAAGGAUUCUCUAAUUUACUUGAGAAAAGUUUAAUUGAAC
This 276-nucleotide long non-coding RNA is filed under the name Setaria viridis. RNAcentral describes it as "long non-coding RNA (SVIR_LNC009664)". The record is from RNAcentral. Lineage: Eukaryota; Viridiplantae; Streptophyta; Magnoliopsida; Poales; Poaceae.